RNAcentral lists this ribosomal RNA (440 nucleotides) under uncultured Lactococcus sp. RNAcentral's name for it is "bacterial SSU rRNA". It matches the Rfam family "Bacterial small subunit ribosomal RNA", at positions 358 to 790 of the family's 1533-position model. Lineage: Bacteria; Bacillati; Bacillota; Bacilli; Lactobacillales; Streptococcaceae. The record is from RNAcentral.
GGAAUCUUCGGCAAUGGACGAAAGUCUGACCGAGCAACGCCGCGUGAGUGAAGAAGGUUUUCGGAUCGUAAAACUCUGUUGUUAGAGAAGAACGUUGUGUAGAGUGGAAAAUUACACAAGUGACGGUAUCUAACCAGAAAGGGACGGCUAACUACGUGCCAGCAGCCGCGGUAAUACGUAGGUCCCGAGCGUUGUCCGGAUUUAUUGGGCGUAAAGCGAGCGCAGGUGGUUUAAUAAGUCUGAUGUAAAAGGCAGUGGCUCAACCAUUGUGUGCAUUGGAAACUGUUAGACUUGAGUGCAGUAGAGGAGAGUGGAAUUCCAUGUGUAGCGGUGAAAUGCGUAGAUAUAUGGAGGAACACCGGUGGCGAAAGCGGCUCUCUGGACUGUAACUGACACUGAGGCUCGAAAGCGUGGGUAGCAAACAGGAUUAGAUACCCCAG